RNAcentral lists this transfer-messenger RNA (363 nucleotides) under human gut metagenome. It matches the Rfam family "transfer-messenger RNA". Rfam says of the family: Bacterial tmRNA, also known as 10Sa RNA or SsrA, is named for its dual tRNA and mRNA-like properties. Its role is to liberate the mRNA from a stalled ribosome. The record is from RNAcentral.
GGGGGUGUACCGGCUUCGACAGUCGAUUGGAGGCGGGGUAAGCAUGCCGCAGGCUCGUCUGCGUUAAAACGGAAACAAAAAUUAAAUGCGAACAAAACGCAAAAGAACUCCGCACCGGAGUUCGCCCUCGCUGCAUAAUUUAGUCAGCGUGUCGCCCUCGGGUUUGCUGUUCCCCGGGCAAGCGGCAUCAUAAAAAACAGCGAGAGCGACCCCAUCGCCCGGUAAGGUCGCCGUCAAUACGGGCUUUUCAGACGGAGGUUCGCCCGCGCACCGAAGCGAGAGAAAAACAAGCGCCGGAUAAGCAUGUAGAAAGCACCGUUAAAGGUCGGUUGGACCGGGGUUCAACUCCCCGCACCUCCACCA